CCGGCGCACGGGUGAGUAACACGUAUGGAACCUGCCCGCAGCAGGGGGAUAAGCGGAAGAAAUUCCGUCUAAUACCGCGUAACACCGCAGAGGGGCAUCCCUCGGCGGUUAAAGAUUCAUCGGCUGCGGAUGGCCAUGCGGCGCAUUAGCUAGUCGGCGGGGUAACGGCCCACCGAGGCGACGAUGCGUAGGGGUUCUGAGAGGAAGGUCCCCCACACUGGUACUGAGACACGGACCAGACUCCUACGGGAGGCAGCAG
RNAcentral lists this ribosomal RNA (259 nucleotides) under uncultured bacterium. Its description in RNAcentral is "partial 16S ribosomal RNA". It matches the Rfam family "Bacterial small subunit ribosomal RNA", at positions 95 to 354 of the family's 1533-position model. The record is from RNAcentral.